RNAcentral lists this ribosomal RNA (224 nucleotides) under uncultured bacterium. Its description in RNAcentral is "partial 16S ribosomal RNA". It matches the Rfam family "Bacterial small subunit ribosomal RNA", at positions 328 to 538 of the family's 1533-position model. The record is from RNAcentral.
ACGCUCGACACCUACGGGAGCAGCAGUAGGGAAUCUUCCACAAUGGGCGCAAGCCUGAUGGAGCAACACCGCGUGAGUGAAGAAGGGUUUCGGCUCGUAAAGCUCUGUUGUUGGAGAAGAACGUGCGUGAGAGUAACUGUUCACGCAGUGACGGUAUCCAACCAGAAAGUCACGGCUAACUACGUGCCUGCAGCCGCGGUAAUCUGAGGCGGGCUGGACAAGGC